This 301-nucleotide ribosomal RNA is filed under the name uncultured bacterium. RNAcentral's name for it is "partial 16S ribosomal RNA". It matches the Rfam family "Bacterial small subunit ribosomal RNA", at positions 509 to 807 of the family's 1533-position model. The record is from RNAcentral.
CAGUAGCCACGGUAAUACGUAGGUGGCAAGCGUUGUCCGGAAUUAUUGGGCGUAAAGGGCUCGCAGGCGGUUUCUUAAGUCUGAUGUGAAAGCCCCCGGCUCAACCGGGGAGGGUCAUUGGAAACUGGGAAACUUGAGUGCAGAAGAGGAGAGUGGAAUUCCACGUGUAGCGGUGAAAUGCGUAGAGAUGUGGAGGAACACCAGUGGCGAAGGCGACUCUCUGGUCUGUAACUGACACUGAGGAGCGAAAGCGUGGGGAGCGAACAGGAUUAGAUACCCCAGUAGUCCCUGUCUCUUAUAC